CCUACGGGAGGCAGCAGUGAGGAAUAUUGGUCAAUGGACGAGAGUCUGAACCAGCCAAGUAGCGUGAAGGAUGACUGCCCUAUGGGUUGUAAACUUCUUUUAUAUGGGAAUAAAAUGUUCCACGUGUGGGAUUUUGUAUGUACCAUAUGAAUAAGGAUCGGCUAACUCCGUGCCAGCAGCCGCGGUAAUACGGAGGAGCCGAGCGUUAUCCGGAUUUAUUGGGUUUAAAGGGAGCGUAGGUGGAUUGUUAAGUCAGUUGUGAAAGUUUGCGGCUCAACCGUAAAAUUGCAGUUGAAACUGGCAGUCUGGAGUACAGUAGAGGUGGGCGGAAGUCGUGGUGUCGCGGUGAAAUGCUUAGAUAUCACGAAGAACUCCGAUUGCGAAGGCAGCUCACUGGACUGCAACGGACACUGAGGCUCGAAAGUGUGGGUAUCAAACAGGAUUAGAUACCCGGGUAGUC
Molecule: ribosomal RNA, 460 nt
Filed under: uncultured bacterium
Lineage: Bacteria
Description: partial 16S ribosomal RNA
Rfam family: Bacterial small subunit ribosomal RNA
Source: RNAcentral